AAUGUCGUAACAAGGUUUCCGUAGGUAGAACCUGCGAAGGAUCUUUACAAAUUAAAGGCUGGUAGGAAAGAUGGGGGUCCUUGAUCUGUAAGUGGUACGAAGCCGAACAGGUCCGGCUGCCUCCCGAAACUGUUUACAUGUCCCCCACAGCCUGAAGGCCGAAUUACAACCCUUGAUUAUCUACACUUGUUGCUUUUCGGGGAUGCUCAAGUGCCCCGAGAGGACCCAACUCUCUUGCAUUUCAGUGACGUCUGAGUACUAUAUAAUAUUUAAAAG
This 276-nucleotide unclassified non-coding RNA is filed under the name plant metagenome. RNAcentral describes it as "partial contains small subunit ribosomal RNA and internal transcribed spacer 1". The record is from RNAcentral.